CACCUGGUGCUGCAGGCUGGAAACAUCCUCAAUGCUGGUGGUUAUGCUGGUAACGCUGUGGGUUUCAAGCUGUCCUCUCUCCUGUCUCUGGCUGAUACCAAGGCCAAUAAACCUGGCAUGAACCUGCUGCACUUUGUAGCUCUGGAAGCACAGAAGAAGGAUGAUAAAC
Long non-coding RNA from Oncorhynchus tshawytscha (Chinook salmon), 169 nucleotides. RefSeq lists it as uncharacterized. The transcript is spliced from 3 exons. NCBI's taxonomy places the organism in Eukaryota, Metazoa, Chordata, Actinopteri, Salmoniformes, Salmonidae. The record is from RefSeq and is a predicted model, not a curated record.